Molecule: ribosomal RNA, 661 nt
Filed under: uncultured bacterium
Lineage: Bacteria
Description: bacterial SSU rRNA
Rfam family: Bacterial small subunit ribosomal RNA
Source: RNAcentral
AUGGGGGACAACAUUCCGAAAGGAAUGCUAAUACCGCAUACGUCCUACGGGAGAAAGCAGGGGAUCUUCGGACCUUGCGCUAAUAGAUGAGCCUAAGUCGGAUUAGCUAGUUGGUGGGGUAAAGGCCUACCAAGGCGACGAUCUGUAGCGGGUCUGAGAGGAUGAUCCGCCACACUGGGACUGAGACACGGCCCAGACUCCUACGGGAGGCAGCAGUGGGGAAUAUUGGACAAUGGGGGGAACCCUGAUCCAGCCAUGCCGCGUGUGUGAAGAAGGCCUUAUGGUUGUAAAGCACUUUAAGCGAGGAGGAGGCUACUGAGACUAAUACUCUUGGAUAGUGGACGUUACUCGCAGAAUAAGCACCGGCUAACUCUGUGCCAGCAGCCGCGGUAAUACAGAGGGUGCGAGCGUUAAUCGGAUUUACUGGGCGUAAAGCGUGCGUAGGCGGCUUUUUAAGUCGGAUGUGAAAUCCCCGAGCUUAACUUGGGAAUUGCAUUCGAUACUGGGAAGCUAGAGUAUGGGAGAGGAUGGUAAAUUUCCAGGUGGUAGCGGUGAAUGCCGUAGAGAUCUGGAGGAAUACUGAUGGCGAAGGCAGCCAUCUGGCCUAAUACUGACGCUGAGGUACGAAAGCAUGGGGGAGCAAACAGGAUUAGAUACCCUG